AGAAAGUCACGGCUAACUACGUGCCAGCAGCCGCGGUAAUACGUAGGUGGCAAGCGUUAUCCGGUAUUUAUUGGGCGUAAAGAGAGUGCAGGCGGUUUUCUAAGUCUGAUGUGAAAGCCUUCGGCUUAACCGGAGAAGUGCAUCGGAAACUGGAUAACCUGAGUGCAGAAGAGGGUAGUGGAACUCCAUGUGUAGCGGUGGAAUGCGUAGAUAUAUGGAAGAACACCAGUGGCGAAGGCGGCUACCUGGUCUGCAACUGACGCUGAGACUCGAAAGCAUGGGUAGCGAACAGGAUUAGAUACCCUGGUAG
Molecule: ribosomal RNA, 310 nt
Filed under: uncultured bacterium
Lineage: Bacteria
Description: bacterial SSU rRNA
Rfam family: Bacterial small subunit ribosomal RNA
Source: RNAcentral